AACGCUGGCGGCAGGCCUAACACAUGCAAGUCGAGCGGUAGCACAGGGAGCUUGCUCCUGGGUGACGAGCGGCGGACGGGUGAGUAAUGUCUGGGAAACUGCCUGAUGGAGGGGGAUAACUACUGGAAACGGUAGCUAAUACCGCAUAACGUCUUCGGACCAAAGUGGGGGGCCUUCGGGCCUCAUGCCAUCAGAUGUGACCAGAUGGGAUUAGCUAGUAGGUGGGGUAAUGGCUCACCUAGGCGACGAGCCCUAGCUGGUCUGAGAGGAUGCCCAGCCACACUGGACCUGAGACACGGCCCAGACUCCUACGGGAGGCAGCAGUGGGGAAUAUUGCACAAUGGGCGCAAGCCUGAUGCAGCCAUGCCGCGUGUGUGAAGAAGGCCUUCGGGUUGUAAAG
RNAcentral lists this ribosomal RNA (400 nucleotides) under Serratia sp. 104(2011). RNAcentral describes it as "bacterial SSU rRNA". It matches the Rfam family "Bacterial small subunit ribosomal RNA", at positions 32 to 430 of the family's 1533-position model. The record is from RNAcentral. Lineage: Bacteria; Pseudomonadati; Pseudomonadota; Gammaproteobacteria; Enterobacterales; Yersiniaceae.